Molecule: ribosomal RNA, 533 nt
Filed under: Microtus thomasi (Thomas's pine vole)
Lineage: Eukaryota; Metazoa; Chordata; Mammalia; Rodentia; Cricetidae
Description: partial 16S ribosomal RNA
Rfam family: Bacterial large subunit ribosomal RNA
Source: RNAcentral
GAGGCCUGCCUGCCCAGUGACAAACGUUCAACGGCCGCGGUAUCCUGACCGUGCAAAGGUAGCAUAAUCACUUGUUCCUUAAUUGGGGACUGGAAUGAAUGGCCUCACGAGGAUUCAACUGUCUCUUACCUCUAAUCAGUGAAAUUGACCUCCCCGUGAAGAGGCGGGGAUACAACAACAAGACGAGAAGACCCUAUGGAGCUUUAAUUUUCUGUCUUAACUACUAAAUAACUAACCCUACUGGGAUAAAAAAAAGAGAAGUAAGUCAGUAAUUUCGGUUGGGGUGACCUCGGAGAAUAAAACAACCUCCGAAUGAUUUUAACCAAGACAAACAAGUCAAAGUAUUAAAAAUCAAAUUGACCCAAUUCAUUUGAUCAACGGACCAAGUUACCCUAGGGAUAACAGCGCAAUCCUAUUCAAGAGUCCAUAUCGACAAUUAGGGUUUACGACCUCGAUGUUGGAUCAGGACAUCCCAAUGGUGCAGCAGCUAUUAACGGUUCGUUUGUUCAACGAUUAAAGUCCUACGUGAUCUG